Onthophagus taurus is the source of this 520-nucleotide non-coding RNA. The record is from RefSeq and is a predicted model, not a curated record. Lineage: Eukaryota; Metazoa; Arthropoda; Insecta; Coleoptera; Scarabaeidae.
CAGCUUAUACGCUUGUUAAAAAAACGAGAAGAAACGUUUCGAAGCGAGUGCUUGGGUUGGGUGCUUGGAAGACUGUUUUACUCGUUGUUACACGAAUUUCUUAUCUUGUCAGUGGUUGCAUUAUUUGUUUUACAUCAACUUUCGUUCAUCGCACCGUUUAUUACAACGAACGCAAAACUAUGGUUGGAUUUGUAAAUGAUACUUUAUCAGUGUUCUUAGUAGAUCAUUUCAGAGAUGACAUGGAAAGUAAUAUACGAGAGAAAUAUCCGGAUGUAAAAAUUUGUUUUUAUCCUGGCAAUAAAAACAGCUACAACCAUACAAAGCCGUAUCAACUUUCCGACAGACAUUUUGAGCUUGUUUCCAUAAAAUUCCUUGCGAUCGUCGCUUACAUCCACAUAGUUUAUUUCAUUAAUGCAAUUUUAUCAUAUUUGAUCCCAAAAAUGCCCGCUUUAAUCGAAGAAAGCUUAUUCGAGGACGACAAAGCGAAGCGAAUGAAGGAACUUGAUAAAAUAAGUAAAAA